Molecule: long non-coding RNA, 3809 nt
Organism: Homo sapiens (human)
Lineage: Eukaryota; Metazoa; Chordata; Mammalia; Primates; Hominidae
Gene: GARS1-DT
Product: GARS1 divergent transcript
Source: Ensembl
GAGUUUUGCUCUUGUUGCCCAGGCUGGAGUGCAAUGGCACAAUCUCAGCUCACCACAACCUCCCCCUCCCGGGUUCAAGUGAUUCUCCUGCCUCAGCAUCACUAGUAGCUGGAAUUACAGGCACCUGCCACCAUGCCUACAAAAAUACCAUGUAUUUUUAGUAGAGACGGGGUUUCUCCAUGUUGAUCAGGCUGGUCUCGAUCUCCCAACCUCAGGUGAUCUGCCUGCCUCGGCCUCCCAAAGUGCUGGGAUUACAGGUGUGAGCCAGCGCGCCCAGCCAACUUGUACUAUUUCUAAGCUAAUACAAGUCCAUUUCACAUAGAUAACACAUUACAUUUCUACAGAAAUCAUUGUAUUAAGCCUACUGAAAUGCAUCUUGCUGUUUUUUGAACUAAAGACCCAUGUAUAAGUGAUAGUUCUUUCAUAUCAGUACAUGAAUCUGAGGAGACCCUAAUUUUCAGUGGCCACAGGUCCUUAAUCUGCUGUGCUUUUCCCUGGCAGUGCUCAACAGCUGGGAGCUGCCCCAUGGAAAGGGACUACUGGCCUAAUCCCAGACUGGGGUUUGACUAAAAGGUUGCGCCAGGAGGACAAAAGGGCAAGAGAGUAAGACCACCAGCAAGAGAAUGACCAAAAUGAUAGACUUGGGCCAUAUUUUGGGCUAAUUGUGCCCCCCAAAAUAUAUAUGUUGAAGCCCUAACCCCCAAUGUAUCAGUAGUUGGAGAUGGGGCCUUUUGGGGGGUAAUUAGGUUUAGAUGAAGUUACAAAAUAGAGCCCUCAUGCUGGGAUUAGUGCUCCUAUAAGACAUCAGGAAGUUUGCUCUCUCUUUCUGUCGUGUGAGGAUACAGUGAGAAGGCAGCCAUCUGCAAGCUAGGAAGAGGGCCCAUGCCAGAACCUGACCAUGCUGGCACUCUGAUUUUGGAUUUCUAGUCUCUAGAACUGUGAAUAAGUACGUUUCUAUUGCGUAAGCCACCCAGUCUAUGGUAUUUUAUUAUGGCAGCCUGAGCUGACUAAUAUAGGCUUCUAGAUUGGAAGGGGAAGGAAGUAAAGAGAGAGAAUUGAUAGGGAUAAAGAAGAGGCAUCAAGAGACUUGGGGUAUCUGCUACUGAAGACAUCAGCUCUCUAUGACAAAACAGCACAGCAUGUUUGGAGUAAGAGAAAGCUGAAGUCUCAACAAACAAAUAGAUUCUUAAUGUUCUAUACCACCGGACAAACUGCAGCCCUUUUAUACAUAUGGAGUACUUUCUGGGCCAGUCCUGUGGCCCCUUUCAAAUGUAUGGUGUUGAAACGUAGUAAGUUUAUGUUUUUAAGGUCUGCCCCUCCCUUCUUGCAUUAUAUCAUAAACUCUUCUCUUUUUUUUUUUUUUUGAGACGGAGUCCCGCUCUGUCACGCAGGCUGCCAGGCUGGCGUACAGUGGCGCAAUCUCAGCUCGCUGCAACCUCCACCUCCUGGGUUCAAGCGAUUUUCUUGCCUCUGCCUCCUGAGUAGCUGGGAUUACUGGCACACACCACCAUGCACAGGGAGAUAUGAGACAUCAAUCAAUAUAUGUAAGAUGUACAUCAGUUUCGUCUGGAAAGAUGGGACAACAUGAAGCAGGGAGGGGGCUCCCUGGUGACAGUUCCUUGUUCAAAAUGCCAAGAACCUGGAUGACUCAUAGUCAAGACCCUCCACCAGUAACAUAUAUUGGCGAGCCAGCCAGGAGCUUGGAACCCUCGGUGGACAGUGCCUAAGCACAGAGGCAACCACAGGUUUCUAACAGGGCCACUCUCUGGUGAAACUGAAAGGUUUCUGUGUGAAAGUGCCUGACCACCACUGCCCAAUUCAGACCACUACAGGAAACACUCCAUUUAUUCCACCUGACUUCCCACUUGGCUGCAUCCUCAACCAUUGAAAUGAAUUUGACCCUGAUAAUCUAAGGAGGAAACAUUUGAUAUUCUUUUGCAAUAAUACUUGGCCCCAGUAUUGUUUGGAAUCUGGAGUUUGCUGUUGAAUGGGAAAGCAGGAUGACGUUGCAUGUAUCCAGGCUUUGGUGCUGCUGUCCUAAGAAGGGUCAGGCCUAGUCAGCAUAUGGUGCUCUCCUUUGGUGCUAUUUGGCUCCAGUGUCUUUGGAGUCUGAGGAGGUUUGGCCUUUAAAAAUCAAACUGCCACCGGAACUGCUUUAAAAAUGUUUGGUUCACAGCCUUCACUGGAUUACCUAUUGGAGCAAACAAAGUGUAACCAUGUAAAACCUGUGAGCUUGUAUUGAUAUCUCAUGGCUAGAGUUCCAAGGUAAAAGCUAUUGGAUCUUCGUUUGUGUGUGUGUAUACAUGUCUAGAUGUGUUUAUUUGUAUGUACACUUAUUGUUAUAUGUUGUGUCAACCAAAUCAGCUUAUAAAUAAAAAAGCACUCAUAAAUUAAAUAAAUAAGUCCAAGCAAUUUUCAAGUUCAUGUGACUUAAGUAAAUCUUCAUUAAAUAGCUGGCUUUAAAAUUAUUGGUAAAAUGAAAAUAGAAAUAUCUUCAGAAUUGUCAGCAUACAUUUUUGUCUGGGUUUUAUAUUUGUCUUUGCUAGAAAUGUUGAAGUGUCAGCAUUUGGCAUAGAAGAUUAUAAAGCUAUUAACCCAGCCAAAACAAAAUGGCCUUAGUUUAUGUGGCUUCUUUGACAAAUGAGACUAAUUUAAUAUUGUUAGCUAAAUCUUCUGGGUUAUUGGCAAAAACACCUAUGUAUUUAACUGUGAGGUUCUUAUUUAGGUGAACACAUAAUGUUCAUUGGCUAUUAAAAAUGGUUAACAAAUAAAUAACUAACUUUAAAUGAUGGUGUCUAAUAUCUCAGUUUUCAGAAGUAAUCUAGAUAAACUGUUAAAAAUGAAAGACUUAAGUACAUGUAAAUGGGAUGAAUGAUUAGGUAAAUUUUGUGUAAUUUAAAAUCUUAAAAGUAUUUUUGAUGCCCAUUGGAUAUCUCAGUCAUUUCCAAUUAAGAAAGGGUUAUGAUAGGGAGGAAUAUGUUUCCAAAAAUUGUGGAAUUAUUCUCAUCUAUAAAAUGCUAAUAUCUGAUAGUUUAGGAUUUUUUGCUUCCUAAGGUUUCACUAAAAUUUAAGGUUACUAAGAUGAUAUGGUUUGGCUUUGCAUCCCCACCCAAAUCUCUUCUUAUAACUCCCAUAAUUACCGUGUGUUGUGGGGAGGGAUCCAGUGGGUGAGAGAUGAUUGAAUUAUGCUGUUCUCAUGAUAGCGAAUGGGUCUCAUGAGAUCUGAUGGUUUUGAAAAUGGGAGUUGCCCUGCACAAGCUCUCCUUUUGCCUGCUGCCAUCCACAUAAGAUGUGAUUUGCUCUUCCUUGCCUUCCACCAUGAUUGUGAGGCCUUCCCAGCAUGUGGAAAUGGUCCAGCCUGCAAUAACUGAAGCCCCCAGACCUGGAACCUGAAGAUCCCAUCAGCCACUAAACCUGUGAACCUGUAGAAGACCUGAAGUACCUGUUUAAAAGGCAGCCAAAAGAUAAGUAAAUUCCUAUCAACUUUCCUUGGUGUCCUUCUUGUAUAUUUACUGUAAGCUGGAUAUAAUAGUAGCCAUUUUUAUAUUUUUACAAUUUAAUUGCUUUCUUCCAAAUGGAUUGAAUCACUUCUUUUAAAGUGUUUUAAUUAAUUUUUAUCUAUAGAACAAAAUAACAAAUAAGUAUUUUUUUUUUAUACCAUAAUGGUCACCCACAGCCUGUGUAUACUAAGACCAUGCAUACUGAUAAUCAGCUUUAUUUUACAAAAGAGUUUCGCUUUACCCCUCUGGUAAUUAAUGGAUUCUGGGUAUUUAUUAAAAACUUUAACACAAAGACUGUUAAAUACCACC